This 460-nucleotide ribosomal RNA is filed under the name uncultured bacterium. Its description in RNAcentral is "partial 16S ribosomal RNA". It matches the Rfam family "Bacterial small subunit ribosomal RNA", at positions 338 to 795 of the family's 1533-position model. The record is from RNAcentral.
CCUACGGGAGGCAGCAGUGAGGAAUAUUGGUCAAUGGACGAGAGCCUGAACCAGCCAUGCCGCGUGAAGGAUGACUGCUCUAUGGGUUGUAAACUUCUUUUGUACGGGGGUAAAAUGUUCUACGUGUGGGGUUUUGUAUGUACCAUACGAAUAAGGAUCGGCUAACUCCGUGCCAGCAGCCGCGGUAAUACGGAGGAUCCGAGCGUUAUCCGGAUUGAUUGGGUUUAAAGGGUGCGUAGGUGGUUUGAUAAGUUAGCUGUGAAAUUACGCUGCUCAACAUCGAGGGUGCCGUUGAAACUGGCAGUCUUGAGUACAGAUGAGGUGGGCGGAAUGUGUGGUGUAGCGGUGAAAUGCAUAGAUAUCACAAAGAACACCGAUUGCGAAGGCAGCUCGCUGGACUGCAACUGACACUGAGGCUCGAAAGUGUGGGUAUCGAACAGGAUUAGAUACCCUAGUAGUC